GCCCGGAUGGCGAAAUUGGUAGACGCAAGGGACUUAAAAUCCCUCGGGAGUUUUUCCUGUGCCGGUUCAAAUCCGGCUCCGGGCA
RNAcentral lists this transfer RNA (85 nucleotides) under Sulfurospirillum deleyianum DSM 6946. It matches the Rfam family "tRNA". Rfam says of the family: Transfer RNA (tRNA) molecules are approximately 80 nucleotides in length. Lineage: Bacteria; Pseudomonadati; Campylobacterota; Epsilonproteobacteria; Campylobacterales; Sulfurospirillaceae. The record is from Rfam by way of RNAcentral.